UNUGGAGUAAAAGGCUAUGGCUCAACCAUAGUGUGCUCUGGAAACUGUCUGACUUGAGUGCAGAAGGGGAGAGUGGAAUUCCAUGUGUAGCGGUGAAAUGCGUAGAUAUAUGGAGGANCACCAGUGGCGAAAGCGGCUCUCUGGUCUGUCACUGACGCUGAGGCUNGAAAGCGUGGGUAGCGAACAGGAUUAGAUACCCUGGUAGUNCACGCCGUAAACGAUGAGUGCUAGGUGUUAGGCCCUUUCCGGGGCUUAGUGCCGGAGCUAACGCAAUAAGCACUCCGCCUGGGGAGUACGACCGCAAGGUUGAAACUCAAAGGAAUUGACGGGGGCCCGCACAAGCGGUGGAGCAUGUGGUUUAAUUCGAAGCAACGCGAAGAACCUUACCAGGUCUUGACAUCCCGAUGCUAUUCUUAGAGAUAGGAAGUUACUUCGGUACAUCGGAGACAGGUGGUGCAUGGUUGUCGUCAGCUCGUGUCGUGAGAUGUUGGGUUAAGUCCCGCAACGAGCGCAACCCUUAUUGUUAGUUGCCAUCAUUAAGUUGGGCACUCUAGCGAGACUGCCGGUAAUAAACCGGAGGAAGGUGGGGAUGACGUCAAAUCAUCAUGCCCCUUAUGACCUGGGCUACACACGUGCUACAAUGGUCGGUACAACGAGUUGCGAGCCGGUGACGGCAAGCUAAUCUCUGAAAGCCGAUCUCAGUUCGGAUUGGAGGCUGCAACUCGCCUCCAUGAAGUCGGAAUCGCUAGUAAUCGCGGAUCAGCACGCCGCGGUGAGUACGUUCCCGGGCCUUGUACACACCGCCCGUCACACCACGAGAGUUUGUAACACCCGAAGUCGGUGAGGUAACCUUUUAGGGGCCAGCC
Molecule: ribosomal RNA, 866 nt
Filed under: uncultured bacterium
Lineage: Bacteria
Description: bacterial SSU rRNA
Rfam family: Bacterial small subunit ribosomal RNA
Source: RNAcentral